Molecule: microRNA precursor, 139 nt
Filed under: Cinara cedri
Lineage: Eukaryota; Metazoa; Arthropoda; Insecta; Hemiptera; Aphididae
Source: RNAcentral
UUUAGUUCGUUUUUAUUUUUUAUACGCACAUAAUGCAGUGUCUGUGUAGACAAUCUGUAUUUGGUUCUGCUUACAAAAUACACGGAUAAAAUAAUAUUUCACUGCAUUAUGUGCGUAUAAAAAAUAAAAACGAACUAAA